UACGUAGGUGGCAAGCGUUAUCCGGAAUUAUUGGGCGUAAAGCGCGCGUAGGCGGUUUUUUAAGUCUGAUGUGAAAGCCCACGGCUCAACCGUGGAGGGUCAUUGGAAACUGGAAAACUUGAGUGCAGAAGAGGAAAGUGGAAUUCCAUGUGUAGCGGUGAAAUGCGCAGAGAUAUGGAGGAACACCAGUGGCGAAGGCGACUUUCUGGUCUGUAACUGACGCUGAUGUGCGAAAGCGUGGGGAUCAAACAGGAUUAGAUACCCUG
This 266-nucleotide ribosomal RNA is filed under the name uncultured Staphylococcus sp. RNAcentral's name for it is "partial 16S ribosomal RNA". It matches the Rfam family "Bacterial small subunit ribosomal RNA", at positions 524 to 789 of the family's 1533-position model. Lineage: Bacteria; Bacillati; Bacillota; Bacilli; Caryophanales; Staphylococcaceae. The record is from RNAcentral.